AAAUAGACUAUGUUAAACAUGAAGAAUCUCUUGUACUUAAUAUCUGUGUUGUCUUUGUUGAUAUGUGUGAGAUGUGAGAUCUCCCUGACUCAGCCCGGUGCUGUCACUGUGAAGCCAUCAGAGGUUCUUCAGCUGCCCUGUAAAGUGACCGGAGCCUCCCUCACUGACAGAUCCAAAAUGUGGUCUGUUCAGUGGGUUCGUGAUCCUGCAGGGAAAGGGCUGGAGUGGCUGGGAGGGAUAUGGCAUGAUGCUGUCACACGCUAUGCCCAGUCCUUGCAGGGACGUAUCACAGUAUCAAGAGACACAAAUAAAGGAGAAGUUUAUUUAAAACUCACUGGAAUGAAACCAGAGGAAACUGCUGUAUAUUACUGUGCUAGAGAAGCACAGUGGGACAUAUAUUAUGAGAGCAUGUGUAAAGAACAUGUCCUGAUAUCUGUGGAACUAUGA
This is a non-coding RNA of Xenopus tropicalis (tropical clawed frog), 447 nucleotides long. The record is from the annotation of a RefSeq genome assembly. Lineage: Eukaryota; Metazoa; Chordata; Amphibia; Anura; Pipidae.